ACGAACGCUGGCGGCGUGCUUAACACAUGCAAGUCGAACGGAAAGGCCCUUCGGGGGUACGUCGAGUGGCGAACGGGUGAGUAACACGUGGGUGAUCUGCCCUGCACUCUGGGAUAAGCCUGGGAAACUGGGUCUAAUACCGGAUAGGACUGCGCAUCGCAUGGUGUGUGGUGGAAAGCUUUUGCGGUGUGGGAUGGGCCCGCGGCCUAUCAGCUUGUUGGUGGGGUGAUGGCCUACCAAGGCGACGACGGGUAGCCGGCCUGAGAGGGUGUCCGGCCACACUGGGACUGAGAUACGGCCCAGACUCCUACGGGAGGCAGCAGUGGGGAAUAUUGCACAAUGGGCGCAAGCCUGAUGCAGCGAACCGCCGCGUGGGGGAUGACGGCCUUCGGGUUGUAAACCUCUUUCAGUAUCGGCGAAGCUUGCGGGUUUUCUCGCGGGUGACGGUAGGUACAGAAGAAGCACCGGCCAACUAUGUGCCAGCAGCCGC
This 490-nucleotide ribosomal RNA is filed under the name uncultured bacterium. RNAcentral's name for it is "bacterial SSU rRNA". It matches the Rfam family "Bacterial small subunit ribosomal RNA", at positions 29 to 518 of the family's 1533-position model. The record is from RNAcentral.